RNAcentral lists this ribosomal RNA (479 nucleotides) under uncultured soil bacterium. RNAcentral's name for it is "bacterial SSU rRNA". It matches the Rfam family "Bacterial small subunit ribosomal RNA", at positions 26 to 518 of the family's 1533-position model. The record is from RNAcentral.
AGAAUCAACGCUGGCGGCGUGCCUCAGACAUGCAAGUCGAACGAUUAAAGCUCCCUUCGGGGAGUGCAUAAAGUGGCGCACGGGUGAGUAACACGUAAGUAAUCUACCCUCGGGUGGGGAAUAACGUCCGGAAACGGACGCUAAUACCGCAUAAUGCAGCGGCACCGCAAGGUGACAGUUGUUAAAGAUUUAUUGCCUGGGGAGGAGCUUGCGGCAGAUUAGCUUGUUGGUAAGGUAACGGCUUACCAAGGCUACGAUCUGUAUCCGGUCUAAGAGGACGGUCGGACACACUGACACUGAAUAACGGGUCAGACUCCUACGGGAGGCAGCGAGUCGGGAAUUUUGGGCAAGUGGGGGAAACCUGACCCAGCAACGCCGCGUGAAGGAUGAAGUAUUUCGGUAUGUAAACUUCGAAAGAAUAGGAAGAAUUAAUGACGGUACUAUUUAUAAGGUCCGACUAACUACGUGACAGCAGCCGC